GCUGUCGGUUCGCCGCCCGUCGGUGUCAACUGGCAUGUCCUGUGGAACGUCCUGCCGGUGGCGGACCGGGCUUUCGGCUUGCGUAAGGGCUUACGCCCGAAGCAGGCCGAACAGUACCGGCCGCCGGUCCAAUCCCGCCACGGUGCUCUUCACCGAGUGUCGAGGUGGGCCGGCACGUUUACUUUGAACAAAUUAGAGUGCUUAAAGCAGGCUGGUGUCCGCCUGAAUACUGUGUGCAUGGAAUAAUAGAAUAGGACCUCGGUUCUAUUUUGUUGGUUUUCGGAACCCGAGGUAAUGAUUAAUAGGGACAGGCGGGGGCAUUCGUAUUGCGACGUUAGAGGUGAAAUUCUUGGAUCGUCGCAAGACGAACCUAAGCGAAAGCAUUUGCCAAGUAUGUUCUCGUUAAUCAAGAACGAAAGUUAGAGGUUCGAAGGCGAUCAGAUACCGCCCUAGUUCUAACCAUAAACGAUGCCAGCCAGCGAUCCGCCGAAGUUCCUCCGAUGACUCGGCGGGCAGCUUCCGGGAAACCAAAGCUUUUGGGUUCCGGGGGAAGUAUGGUUGCAAAGCUGAAACUUAAAGGAAUUGACGGAAGGGCACCACCAGGAGUGGAGCCUGCGGCUUAAUUUGACUCAACACGGGAAACCUCACCAGGCCCGGACACCGGAAGGAUUGACAGAUUGAGAGCUCUUUCUUGAUUCGGUGGGUGGUGGUGCAUGGCC
This 719-nucleotide ribosomal RNA is filed under the name Aeneolamia albofasciata. Its description in RNAcentral is "SSU rRNA". It matches the Rfam family "Eukaryotic small subunit ribosomal RNA", at positions 718 to 1289 of the family's 1831-position model. The record is from RNAcentral. Lineage: Eukaryota; Metazoa; Arthropoda; Insecta; Hemiptera; Cercopidae.